AAUUUUUCCAAAAUCAUAAUUUUAAAUUAGCUGCCAAGAAAAUACAUCCAAUUGUGCCUUUGAAAGACGAGUUCAACACAAAUAAUAUUGAAAACUGUGGUACGGUCUACAGUUACAACCUAAGAUUCAGAAAUCGUUAGCAUAAUUUCACACUUAAUUACAAUCUCACAACAAAGAAAAUCGUUACGUCCGAUACGUUGCACUUGUUCGCUGCUUUUUUACCUAAUACUACGUGUGCAGAAAGAAAGCAUUUUCUUCAGAUAUAAUUGAAAAAACAACCUUAAGAACAAUCCAAAAACUGACUGUUUUAAAUCUGAGAUAUGAUUUAUCAAGGUGGCUGGACGAUAAGUAGUGUACGAGUACAAAAAUCCAAGAGAAAUCAAUGGUUUUCUCGCACCACUGAGUAAGACGAUGGAAUCUGCCACUUCCUCUAGAGCAAAAAGCCGCGAUUUUCCGCCAGUGAUAAAUGGCAAGUGGCGAGAAGAACACGGUGGAAGUGAGACUGCAGCUGAAGAAAAAAGUCAAUAAUUAGUUUUAUUAAAUGCACUUGUUUUUUGUCAUAUGUACCAAAGACUAAAAAAAUUCCAUUAUGAAUUAUUUUUCGAGAAUUUGUACCUAAAAAAAUACUUUUACAUACAAUUAUUUUGAAACAGGUUUAUUUGUACUCUUCAUUGCUAAAUGCACUCAUACCAAGGAAAGGUUAAUUUUGCGAUAACUGGCUUAGAUUGUGGAAUCACUGAGAAUUAGGAUAAGGUACUCAGUUCAAUGUCAAAUUUGAAGCAUGCAUUCAUUCAAAUAUUCUACGAGUAAAAAGGAAAGUUGCAGACCCUAAUAAUGAACAAGAAAAAACGUUAAUUCGGUGGCACCGAAGCUAUAAUACCCUUCACAAAUACAAAAGAUUCAUUAGAAGAACUUGAUUCCGAUCGUUCAGUUCAGUGAUCCGAUCUGAACAAUUUCUUCGAAAGUUCCAUUAUUGCCUUAGAUAAUGAUCCAAUUAAGGUCGAAUGUGAGUCCAGCCUUUUGUUGAUAAAUAAACAGUCUUAAAAAUCUAUAUUGAUUCAAUACUUUUAAUUGUCGGUAAAAGAUCUCGAAAUUGGUAAACGAAGCCCCGAAUUUAGUUAUAUCAGUAUAGUAAAGGAGGGAUGGAUAUUUGAUUUAAGCAUCAUCAAAGAGUCUACCAACAAGAACGACAUGAUGUUAGAAUGAAAUGAAACACUCAAAUUUGAUCAAAAUGGGUUCUGUUUUUCGUGUUAUGCUUAUAAUUUUAUGCCAUUUAUGAAUUGAACCAUUUGCAUAUUUUCACCCGUGUACGCUAAUUUUCGAUGACCUGGUGCAGCAUUUCGGCUGGAAUUACAGCUAUAGUGCGCUGAAUGUUGUUUUCGAGCUCCUUAAGGUUUUUGGUUUAUUUAACUAAACCUUUAAUUUAACAUACGCAAAGGGAAAAUAUUCCAGAGGCGUUAAGUCGCAUGAUCUUGGCGGCCAUUUGACUGAUCCAAAACUUUUGUUGAUUUCAAUAUUAAAUAACAUUAUGAUUGCCUAAGAGAAGCAUAAUCAUAGAAAUUUGUCAUGGGUAAAUAUUAGGGGGGAUCAAAAACAAUUUAAUGUUCCUUUUUCGCUUCGUGUACUCUAAAAGUUGGUUUAUAGGCACCUUUUAGAAAGGUUCUCCAAGUAUGAGCUCUUAAUUGUAACGGGAAAGUCCUCCGUCUAAAGGUUUUGUAUUUUUUAAUUUAUUAUUAUUAUUAUUAAUUUAUUAUUUUCAAAUUAAAAAGUUUACAUUGCGGUUCCAAGUACCAUGUGCCAUUUUGCAACGUACCACAUGCUAUGAAGUAAAUGGGUUUGUUAUUCCGCUUACUGGUUAUGCAACACAGCACAGAUGUUGCCGUUUUUGACCUUUUUGACAUCUUCAUUUAAGUUUUGUUUUUAUACUUGGAAGCCACUUGUUUUACACUCAUCGGCGUCAAAUUUUGAGUUGAUUUGCUACCAUUUGCUCUUUCUAUGCUGGCUUUUGUCAAGAUAAUUCAAUGGAAAAUUGCUCUGUAAUUGGGGUUGGCCCAUUUCAACCCCCCCUUUUUAUUGCGACCAUAAAAAAACAAAACUACGUUUAAUUAUACAAUUAAUUGUACUAAGAAAUUUUUUAUUUUAAAAUUAUUUGACAAAAUCUUUGCAGUUAAUCAAAUGACUCAAAUGUAUUUGUAAACUGGUAUUUAUACAAAAUUAUAGAUUGAAAUAAACUAAAUGGACUCGGGAAUCUGGGCAUAAUAUAUUUUCAAACCAAAUCCACUAAAUUUAAGUUUUGCAAAUAUCUUUGUGAAACACGGAUAGUGGUAGUAGUUGUAUUAACAACUUUCUUAUUUGACGUGGUAACUUCACAAAAUUUGUCAUAUAUUAUUACCCAUGACAACGUUAAAAUCUCCGAAGAAAUUGUUUAGAUUUAGAUAUAGCUGCCAUACAACUGAACGAUCAAAAUAUAAGGGGAUUGUCUGGGCUUUUAUUUGUCAAGGUAGCUUCAAGAUAUCUUUGAACGUAUUGUUCAGAUCGAAGCACUAUAGCUUACAGCUGCGAACGGUAUUAUAGCUUCGGUACAGCCUAAGUUAAAAUUUUUUCUGGUUUUAUUUAUUUUCGGAUUAGAAGCAGCAUAAUUCGUAUAGCAUGGCAGACUAAUUAUUUACAAAAUUCAAUAAUGACGUAUAUGAAAAACUGAAAAUAAAUGAAUGGAAUAAACAAAACAUAAAAUAAAUUUUUUAUAAUACUGCUGUAGUUGUGCUGUCCAAUAUUUUAUUUUAACACAGAAUGCUUAAAAUAUUACUAUGUACAUAUUGCAAACAAAAUAUGUAGUUUUGCGGUCCUGUUUGAAUUCCUCAAGUUAGCUUUAGAGUGAACUUGCCAAUGUAUACAAGUAGAAAAUCAACAGAAAAAAAUGCUCCUAUAUUUUGUUGAAAUUAUAUCAAGACAUUAACAAUUUACUGAUUCUGAAGACAAAGUUCAUAUAUGUUGUUUAACCAAUGUUGGAGUCAUUUAUGGUAUAAUUAACAGUUGUAGUAUGAUUUUGGUAUCACAAUUUAUUUAGAUCUUUUAUUUUUUAAAUUUCAGUACCGGCAACUCAAAGUAUUUUCCAACAUUUUUAUUAUUUCCUUAAACUCACUAAGCAAAUCGCAAAUUUAAAAAAAACAAACACAUUCCACAAACAAGUUCUAUCAGAACGAACGUCUUCACCAAAUUAAUACCCGUUGCAAAAUAACUGAAUGUCGACGAGCGCAUCGCUAACCGUCAAUCCAUAACCGAAA
This is a non-coding RNA of Bactrocera oleae (olive fruit fly), 3284 nucleotides long. The record is from RefSeq and is a predicted model, not a curated record. NCBI's taxonomy places the organism in Eukaryota, Metazoa, Arthropoda, Insecta, Diptera, Tephritidae.